GAUGAAGAACGCAGCGAAAUGCGAUAAGUAAUGUGAAUUGCAGAAUUCAGUGAAUCAUCGAAUCUUUGAACGCACAUUGCGCCCGCCAGCAUUCUGGCGGGCAUGCCUGUUCGAGCGUCAUUUCAACCCUCGAGCCCCCCCGGGGGCCUCGGUGUUGGGGGACGGCACACCAGCCGCCCCCGAAAUGCAGUGGCGACCCCGCCGCAGCCUCCCCUGCGUAGUAGCACACACCUCACACCGGAGCGCGGAGGCGGUCACGCCGUAAAACGCCCAACUUUCUUAGAGUUGACCUCGGAUCAGGUAGGAAUACCCGCUGAACUUAAGCAUAUCAAUAAGCGGAGGA
Molecule: unclassified non-coding RNA, 343 nt
Filed under: soil metagenome
Description: partial contains 5.8S ribosomal RNA, internal transcribed spacer 2, and large subunit ribosomal RNA
Rfam family: 5.8S ribosomal RNA (bases 1-120)
Source: RNAcentral